AUGCUCAGUUCACCAGCACACACACUAGAAUUGGAACCACACAGAGAAGAUUAACAGGGCCUCUGUGCAAAGACAUGUUAAUUCAUGUAGCAUUCCAUAUUUUU
This is a small nuclear RNA of Trichosurus vulpecula (common brushtail), 104 nucleotides long. Lineage: Eukaryota; Metazoa; Chordata; Mammalia; Diprotodontia; Phalangeridae. The record is from RefSeq and is a predicted model, not a curated record.